UGUGGGCCUUUUCUGCUAAGUUGUUGUAUUAUUGCUUUAUUAGGAAGAUAAUCAGUCAUAUGCUUACCAAAUGUGCUGGGUAUUUUGCAAGAAUCCAUACAUACGUUACUUCAUUUAAACUUGGCAGUAACUUUUCAAGUGUGACCCAAAUCUUCAGGUGUUCAAUGUUUUCAUUGAUAACCUCGAUACUCGUCUUCCUCGAAUAGCAUUAUUUUCUACAAGAACCAUAUAUGCUGGAGAAGAACUAACUUUUGAUUACCAAAUGAAAGGUUCUGGAGAUACAUCUUCAGACUCUAUUGACCACAGCCCAGCAAAAAAGAGGG
RNA transcript from Cavia porcellus (domestic guinea pig), 323 nucleotides. It is a transcript of the gene named SUV39H2 histone lysine methyltransferase, with no coding region annotated. NCBI's taxonomy places the organism in Eukaryota, Metazoa, Chordata, Mammalia, Rodentia, Caviidae. The transcript is spliced from 3 exons. The record is from RefSeq and is a predicted model, not a curated record.